Long non-coding RNA from Rosa chinensis, 1200 nucleotides. RefSeq lists it as uncharacterized. Lineage: Eukaryota; Viridiplantae; Streptophyta; Magnoliopsida; Rosales; Rosaceae. The transcript is spliced from 5 exons. The record is from RefSeq and is a predicted model, not a curated record.
UUUUGUUGUUUCUGAUUCCUUUUUCUCUCCAGGCAUAUCGCUCCGUCCAAAUCAGGUAGAACACGAGCUCAAUACUGAUCUUCUGCGAGGUCGAAUUGGAGAUGGAUUUGAAGACAGAGGCCAAAUCGGAGAUGGAACCAUACAUGGGUCUUCAACGAAAAGUCCCAGGGUGGUGGAAGCUUGAAACUCGGCGCCUUGCUUCUCUCUGUGAGAAAUCAGUGAUUUUGAAAAAGAGGAGCUUUGUGCAUCGGGGAGCCAUCUUCAAAGGUCCGCAUAUUGUGGGUAUAAGGCGAGGACAGCAGCUGCAGUUAAGAUCCCAGAGUAUCAAUUUGGGGACAGUUUGACGUGCCGGUGUAAACAAAAGCAGUAAUUAUCAGAGCCUCAGAGGCCUUUCGAAGCUUUAUUUUUUUAAAGGUGGAGGCGAGAACAGUAACUAUAGUGCGGCCAAGUAUCGGAACUCCAGGAUUCAAACUCAAGGGUGAGGCUUUCUUUUUAUUUACCCACUGGUUUGUUUAGAAUAGGUGUUUCGGAACGGAGGUUGGGACUGGCUCUUUUUGGCUACGGAGUUUUGAAAAGAUGCAGGGAGGAAUUAUAUGUGGUGUUUAAGUGGAAUUGACAGAGUUCCUGUUAUCAUUUUUAUAUUGAACCACGACCCUAUGGUGAUUCAUAAAGGGCCCUCUGACAGUUCGGUGUAUUAAACAGCCAAAACUUGAGGAUAAUAUUGGCACCCUAAGGCACGCUGUAUCAAAGUUCUGAAACAGUAUUGGCACCAUAAGGCACUGCCACCGGAGCUUUGAAAGCAGUUUCGGCACCCUAAGGCACGCCGAAUGAAUCUCUGAAACAGUAUUGGCACCGAAAGGUACCGCCACUGGAGCUUUGAAAGUGGUAAAACCAUAAAGAGAUGCAGACGGAUCCUCCACCUUUGAUUCCUAUGGAACACGUUGCGGCUUCUUCUGUCUCCUUUUCUGCCUCUGUUUUUUUUUUUUUUGGCCCUUUUGUACGGCCUUCUUGGCUUCUUAUAUAGUGUACUGACGGUACGGUUGAGUUUUAGAGAGACUCUUGUAUUUGACAUGACAUGAAACACCAAAAGAUAACUAUGAUCCCUAUCAGGGAGUUACCGUGCAUCAGUUGCAAUCAAACUCUAAUACUUAAUAAGCUCAUGUGCAAUUAUGGGCAAUUGACCUUCACGCAUUGUCCGUC